ACGCCGGUACGUUUAACGGUAAAAUCGGUGCCUCCGGGCAUAUAUGCGGGUUCGACUCCCGCCCGGCGUC
This 70-nucleotide transfer RNA is filed under the name Salmonella enterica. Its description in RNAcentral is "tRNA-OTHER". It matches the Rfam family "tRNA". From Rfam's summary of the family: Transfer RNA (tRNA) molecules are approximately 80 nucleotides in length. Their secondary structure includes four short double-helical elements and three loops (D, anti-codon, and T loops). Lineage: Bacteria; Pseudomonadati; Pseudomonadota; Gammaproteobacteria; Enterobacterales; Enterobacteriaceae. The record is from RNAcentral. RNAcentral also lists the same sequence under 4 other names.